Mesocricetus auratus (golden hamster) is the source of this 125-nucleotide small nucleolar RNA. The record is from Ensembl. Lineage: Eukaryota; Metazoa; Chordata; Mammalia; Rodentia; Cricetidae.
AAGCCAGACAAUUAAUUUGUCUCUAACAAUGUUUCUGUAGAAAUUUAGAAAAAGAUGGCAAUGGUAAUGCAGUAUUACAAGUCCUGAGGACAACAGUCAUUAGGUCCCUGAAAAUGGCUACAAUA